Molecule: long non-coding RNA, 301 nt
Filed under: Elaeis guineensis (African oil palm)
Lineage: Eukaryota; Viridiplantae; Streptophyta; Magnoliopsida; Arecales; Arecaceae
Description: long non-coding RNA (EGUI_LNC020133)
Source: RNAcentral
UCGUGAGUUUCGACUAGAUGGUAGGUCAUGGAUAAAUCAUCAAAUCUCAUCAUCAGUCAUAUGAUAGAUUCGAUCAACUCAAGUCUAAUUGUGAUCCUUAUAGAAACUCUUUUCCAUCAAUCACAUUACUGUGGCCACAGACUCUCGGACUUAGCCUCUCAAAUCUCAUAGAACUAUUCUUUUCUAUCAAGAUCGAUAGAUUCCAUCUUGAUGUGCACUCUAUUUCUAUAGUGGACCAACUGUUGCCAACAUCCACUAUAAGGGCUCAUUAAGAUCAUGUUUAUGUGUCAGUCAAACUUCA